CUCGUCCACGCCCUCUCUCCACCCACUAGCACGCCCAUUCAUUUGAAAACUCUAUAAAUACCAGCAGAACACCACAUACCUACCGGUUCAAUGUCUGAGGGAACAUUUUCCGGACUAAUGCUUUCACAAUCUGGGACAAUACAGAGCAAGUUAUGGCCAACACCUGACGCUGAAGUCUGGAUCAAUACCACCAAGCCUCCUGAACAAAAGUUCCUGUUACAGACGGUCAUGAUGAGUAGAAGAAGGCAACAUGAUGAAGCAAAACUCCUCCUUCACCACUACGUUGGAGUCUUCCCAUUCAGUCAUCAUCCAAUUUGCUCCAAAUAAUCAAACACAAGCAGACGCUUCUUACAGAUGGCUGUCCUCUAGAAUGAAAAUGCACACCAACCACCGGCAAACAUCAAAAGCUAAUCCAACCUUUGGCUUUGUGUGGAAAGGUCUUCAGAAACCCUGCGACUGAUGCAAUGUUGGUGCCCUAGAAGACAAGUCAGCACAGUUCAGACGAGCCAGCCAGAG
This is a long non-coding RNA of Engraulis encrasicolus (European anchovy), 516 nucleotides long. RefSeq lists it as uncharacterized. The transcript has 4 exons. NCBI's taxonomy places the organism in Eukaryota, Metazoa, Chordata, Actinopteri, Clupeiformes, Engraulidae. The record is from RefSeq and is a predicted model, not a curated record.